This 1446-nucleotide ribosomal RNA is filed under the name uncultured bacterium. Its description in RNAcentral is "bacterial SSU rRNA". It matches the Rfam family "Bacterial small subunit ribosomal RNA". The record is from RNAcentral.
CUUAACACAUGCAAGUCGAGGGGCAGCAUCAUCAAAGCUUGCUUUGAUGGAUGGCGACCGGCGCACGGGUGAGUAACACGUAUCCAACCUGCCGACUACACUGGGAUAGCCUUUCGAAAGAAAGAUUAAUACCGGAUGGCAUAAUUAUUCCGCAUGGGAUAAUUAUUAAAGAAUUUCGGUUGUCGAUGGGGAUGCGUUCCAUUAGGCAGUUGGCGGGGUAACGGCCCACCAAACCUACGAUGGAUAGGGGUUCUGAGAGGAAGGUCCCCCACAUUGGAACUGAGACACGGUCCAAACUCCUACGGGAGGCAGCAGUGAGGAAUAUUGGUCAAUGGACGAGAGUCUGAACCAGCCAAGUAGCGUGAAGGAUGACUGCCCUAUGGGUUGUAAACUUCUUUUAUACGGCAAUAAAGUGAGCCACGUGUGGCUUUUUGUAUGUACCGUAUGAAUAAGGAUCGGCUAACUCCGUGCCAGCAGCCGCGGUAAUACGGAGGAUUCGAGCGUUAUCCGGAUUUAUUGGGUUUAAAGGGAGCGUAGGCGGGUUGUUAAAUCAGUUGUGAAAGUUUGCGGCUCAACCGUAAAAUUGCAGUUGAUACUGGCGACCUUGAGUGCAACAGAGGUAGGCGGAAUUCGUGGUGUAGCGGUGAAAUGCUUAGAUAUCACGAAGAACUCCGAUUGCGAAGGCAGCUUACUGGAUUGUAACUGACGCUGAUGCUCGAAAGUGUGGGUAUCAAACAGGAUUAGAUACCCUGGUAGUCCACACAGUAAACGAUGAAUACUCGCUGUUGGCGAUAUACAGUCAGCGGCCAAGCGAAAGCAUUAAGUAUUCCACCUGGGGAGUACGCCGGCAACGGUGAAACUCAAAGGAAUUGACGGGGGCCCGCACAAGCGGAGGAACAUGUGGUUUAAUUCGAUGAUACGCGAGGAACCUUACCCGGGCUUAAAUUGCAACUGACGGAACCGGAAACGGUUCUUUCUUCGGACAGUUGUGAAGGUGCUGCAUGGUUGUCGUCAGCUCGUGCCGUGAGGUGUCGGCUUAAGUGCCAUAACGAGCGCAACCCUUACGGGUAGUUACCAUCAGGUUAUGCUGGGGACUCUACCCGGACUGCCGUCGUAAGAUGUGAGGAAGGUGGGGAUGACGUCAAAUCAGCACGGCCCUUACGUCCGGGGCUACACACGUGUUACAAUGGGGGGUACAGAAGGCAGCUACACGGCGACGUGGUGCUAAUCCCAAAAGCCUCUCUCAGUUCGGAUUGGAGUCUGCAACCCGACUCCAUGAAGCUGGAUUCGCUAGUAAUCGCGCAUCAGCCACGGCGCGGUGAAUACGUUCCCGGGCCUUGUACACACCGCCCGUCAAGCCAUGAAAGCCGGGGGUACCUGAAGUACGUAACCGCGAGGAGCGUCCUAGGGUAAAACUGGUGAUUGGGGCUAAGUCGUAACAAGGUA